AAGGACGAUGAUGCAUAGCCGAGUUGAGAGACUGAUCGGCCACAUUGGGACUGAGACACGGCCCAAACUCCUACGGGAGGGCAGCAGUAGGGAAUCUUCCACAAUGGACGCAAGUCUGAUGGAGCAACGCCGCGUGAGUGAAGAAGGUUUUCGGUAUCGUAAAGCUCUGUUGUUGGUGAAGAAGGAUAGAGGUAGUAACUGGCCUUUAUUUGUACGGUAAUCAACCAGAAAGUACACGGCUAACUACGUGCCAGCAGCCGCGGUAAAU
This 268-nucleotide ribosomal RNA is filed under the name uncultured Lactobacillus sp. RNAcentral describes it as "partial 16S ribosomal RNA". It matches the Rfam family "Bacterial small subunit ribosomal RNA", at positions 269 to 525 of the family's 1533-position model. Lineage: Bacteria; Bacillati; Bacillota; Bacilli; Lactobacillales; Lactobacillaceae. The record is from RNAcentral.